This 74-nucleotide transfer RNA is filed under the name Bdellovibrionales bacterium CG10_big_fil_rev_8_21_14_0_10_45_34. Its description in RNAcentral is "tRNA-Cys". It matches the Rfam family "tRNA". From Rfam's summary of the family: Transfer RNA (tRNA) molecules are approximately 80 nucleotides in length. Their secondary structure includes four short double-helical elements and three loops (D, anti-codon, and T loops). The record is from RNAcentral. Lineage: Bacteria; Pseudomonadati; Bdellovibrionota; Bdellovibrionia; Bdellovibrionales.
GGUGAUGUAGCCAAGUGGUUAGGCACCGGUCUGCAAAACCGUUGACGCCGGUUCGAUUCCGGCCAUCACCUCCA